GUUAGGUUGGCAGCAUUCUAGUCUUGUUAAGUUGGCCACUCUUACCGACUGUCUUCUGUCUGUCUUUCUGUCUGUUGCGCGUUGCGCGCGCUCUCGGCGCUCUUGUCUUUGUUUAUAUUUUCCUUUAGCUCAAACUUUGUUGUGUAUCUGUGCCUGGUCACAAGAAUAAUAGAUGGAAGUGCAACACAGUUUAAACUCCAGUGAUCUCUUCAACAAGGAAUAAAAAGAGAAACUCGGCCUCCAAUUAUGAUUCCGAAUUCCACUUCUUGUUAAAACUAAGGCGCAUCAGCUACAGAACAUUAUAAUAUGAUUCCUCUGGGCUCUUAUUUGUUCUCAAAGUCUGCAACGCAAUAUAAUGCGAGUGAUCUAGAUGUGGGAUGAAACUUGGACUACGAUUGAGACUCUUGAACUCCAGAUUUCCUUUUUAGUUGCUCGUCUCAGCUACUGCACACUAUUUUUGUUUUGUACUCUGACAUUGUCCACACGUCUGAAAUUUUUGAACAUCUUAAGUGAUCCAUAUUAUUAUGAUUCAAGGGACCAAGAUGUGGGAUGAAACUUGGCCUUCGAUAGAGAUUCUGAACUCCAGAUUUUACUUUUAGUGGCUCGUCACAACUAAUGCUGUUUGUUUUGAACUCUGACGCUGUCCAAGAAUCUACAACUCCAGUACAUCUUCUUCAGUGGGCCAUUUUAAUAUGAUACAAGUGAUGAAGAUGUGGGAUGAAACUUGGACCUGGCUCAGUUCUUAGUAAAUUGAGGCACCUACUGAGUGUUAUGUCUAUUUGUUAUUGACGACACCUUUUACUUUCUUAUUUAAUUACCAUUGGAAAGAGAUUAUGGUUAUUUUUACACUUUUCCUGUCUGCAAGAACAAACGUGUUCAAUUAAUGGUCUAUUUAUGCACGUCAGCAAUUUUCAUUUAUUGGGUGAUUUGUGAAUACUUUUGUUACUUUUUCUGUGCAUUAAAGCAAUAGGGAGAUUGUUUUAUCAUUUUUGUUCUCAAUUUUCUUCAGGUCUCUUCCAAUAGCAUUCCAUUUUAGUGGGUGUUCAUUUCUGAAUCAAUUAGUAUUAUUGGAAAGAGAUCAUGGUUAUUUUUACAUUUUCAGCAAGGACAAUCAAUUUGCAAUAAAAUCACUUCCAGCAUU
This is a long non-coding RNA of Thrips palmi, 1141 nucleotides long. RefSeq lists it as uncharacterized. NCBI's taxonomy places the organism in Eukaryota, Metazoa, Arthropoda, Insecta, Thysanoptera, Thripidae. The record is from RefSeq and is a predicted model, not a curated record. The transcript is spliced from 5 exons.